GAUGAACGCUGGCGGCGUGCCUAAUACAUGCAAGUCGAGCGAACAGACGAGGAGCUUGCUCCUCUGACGUUAGCGGCGGACGGGUGAGUAACACGUGGAUAACCUACCUAUAAGACUGGGAUAACUUCGGGAAACCGGAGCUAAUACCGGAUAAUAUAUUGAACCGCAUGGUUCAAUAGUGAAAGACGGUUUUGCUGUCACUUAUAGAUGGAUCCGCGCCGCAUUAGCUAGUUGGUAAGGUAACGGCUUACCAAGGCAACGAUGCGUAGCCGACCUGAGAGGGGGAUCGGCCACACUGGAACUGAGACACGGUCCAGACUCCUACGGGAGGCAGCAGUAGGGAUCUUCCGCAAUGGGCGAAAGCCUGACGGAGCAACGCCGCGUGAGUGAUGAAGGUCUUCGGAUCGUAAAACUCUGUUAUUAGGGAAGAACAAAUGUGUAAGUAACUAUGCACGUCUUGACGGUACCUAAUCAGAAAGCCACGGCUAACUACGUG
This 496-nucleotide ribosomal RNA is filed under the name uncultured bacterium. RNAcentral describes it as "partial 16S ribosomal RNA". It matches the Rfam family "Bacterial small subunit ribosomal RNA", at positions 28 to 507 of the family's 1533-position model. The record is from RNAcentral.